GUUUCCGUAGGUGAACCUGCGGAAGGAUCAUUACCGAGUUGAUUCGAGCUCCGGCUCGACUCUCCCACCCAAUGUGUACCUACCUCUGUUGCUUUGGCGGGCCGCGGUCCUCCGCACCGGCGCCCUUCGGGGGGCUGGCCAGCGCCCGCCAGAGGACCAUAAAACUCCAGUCAGUGAACUUCGCAGUCUGAAAAACAAGUUAAUAAACUAAAACUUUCAACAACGGAUCUCUUGGUUCUGGCAUCGAUGAAGAACGCAGCGAAAUGCGAUAAGUAAUGUGAAUUGCAGAAUUCAGUGAAUCAUCGAAUCUUUGAACGCACAUUGCGCCCCUUGGUAUUCCGAGGGGCAUGCCUGUUCGAGCGUCAUUUCAACCCUCAAGCUCUGCUUGGUAUUGGGCCCCGUCCUCCACGGACGCGCCUUAAAGACCUCGGCGGUGGCGUCUUGCCUCAAGCGUAGUAGAAAACACCUCGCUUUGGAGCGCACGGCGUCGCCCGCCGGACGAACCUUUGAAUUAUUUCUCAAGGUUGACCUCGGAUCAGGUAGGGAUACCCGCUGAACUUAA
RNAcentral lists this ribosomal RNA (562 nucleotides) under Neofusicoccum parvum. RNAcentral describes it as "eukaryotic LSU rRNA". The stretch from base 212 to 365 matches the Rfam family "5.8S ribosomal RNA". Lineage: Eukaryota; Fungi; Ascomycota; Dothideomycetes; Botryosphaeriales; Botryosphaeriaceae. The record is from RNAcentral.